Molecule: long non-coding RNA, 601 nt
Filed under: Malus domestica (apple)
Lineage: Eukaryota; Viridiplantae; Streptophyta; Magnoliopsida; Rosales; Rosaceae
Description: long non-coding RNA (MDOM_LNC005836)
Source: RNAcentral
AUUAAAGGAGCAAAACAAUUUGUCCUUUAGCGUUUUUGGACCUAAACGUAAAAAAGUAACCUUUUGGGCCAAAGUGCAAUACACAAAAGUAUCAAAACUUUAUGUAAUUGCAUAAAAGACCCAAAAGUACUCCCAUUGAGGGAGGGCCGGUUUUUAGAGAGGGAAAGGGAGUGGAGAUAAGUCCACAAAAAUUUGGAAAUUUUUUCAACAAUUUCAUAAAGCCUUGCAAGUGGAAUUUGUGACAUAAAUUCAUGCAAGUGAUGUUGUGUAAGAAGUGUGUGUAAGAGAAGUACUUCUUACACACCUAUCACCAUUUCCAUCACCUUACACAAUUUCUAUCACAUUAAAACAUUUGAUAAAGCACAAAACAAAAACUUUAUGAAAUAAAUCAAAACUUUGAAUCAAAACACAAACCUUUUUGUUCUUGGCAAAAAUGUCAAGAACAAUGAAGAACACUCAUGAAAAACCCAAAAAUUUUCCAUGAACAUUUUUCACCCAAAAACAUUCCAAAACCAUUCAAACUUUAGGGAAAUAACAUCUAACCAAAAUAGGGUACAUAGGGGUUCCAAAAGUCACUUGAAAACACUUUUAACAAGUCAAA